CUACGGGAGGCAGCAGUGAGGAAUUUUGCGCAAUGGGGGAAACCCUGACGCAGCCACGCCGCGUGUGCGAAGAAGGCCCUCGGGUCGUAAAGCACUGUCAAGUGGGAAAAAAAUCUUUUGAUCAAUAGUCAAAAGACUUGAUGGUACCACUGGAGGAAGCACCGGCUAACUCCGUGCCAGCAGCCGCGGUAAUACGGAGGGUGCAAGCGUUGUUCGGAUUUACUGGGCGUAAAGAGCGUGUAGGCGGUUUAGCAAGUCAGAUGUGAAAGCCCUGGGCUCAACCCGGGAAGUGCAUUUGAACUGCUUCACUAGAGUAUGGGAGAGGAGAUUGGAAUUCCUGGUGUAGAGGUGAAAUUCGUAGAUAUCAGGAGGAACACCCGUGGCGAAGGCGAUUCUCUGGACCAAUACUGACGCUGAGACGCGAAAGCGUGGGGAGCAAACAGGAUUAGAUACCCCAGUAGUC
Molecule: ribosomal RNA, 463 nt
Filed under: uncultured bacterium
Lineage: Bacteria
Description: partial 16S ribosomal RNA
Rfam family: Bacterial small subunit ribosomal RNA
Source: RNAcentral